RNAcentral lists this ribosomal RNA (437 nucleotides) under uncultured bacterium. RNAcentral's name for it is "bacterial SSU rRNA". It matches the Rfam family "Bacterial small subunit ribosomal RNA", at positions 376 to 803 of the family's 1533-position model. The record is from RNAcentral.
CGAAAGGGUGACGAAGCGACGCCGCGUGUGGGAAGAAGGCCUUCGGGUUGUAAACCACUGUCAGGAGUUAAGAAGUGUAGUGGAGCGAAUAGCGCCAUUACAUGACUAAGGCUCCAGAGGAAGCCACGGCUAACUCUGUGCCAGCAGCCGCGGUAAUACAGAGGUGGCAAGCGUUGUUCGGAAUUAUUGGGCGUAAAGAGCACGUAGGCGGUUCUGCAAGUCGGCUGUGAAAGCCUUCCGCUCAACGGAAGAACAGCAGUUGAUACUACAGGACUAGAGUGCGGGAGGGGAGAGUGGAACUUCUGGUGGAGCGGUGAAAUGCGUAGAUAUCAGAAGGAACGCCGGCGGCGAAAGCGACUCUCUGGCCCGUAACUGACGCUGAGUGUGCGAAAGCUAGGGGAGCAAACGGGAUUAGAUACCCCGGUAGUCCUAGCCGU